RNAcentral lists this ribosomal RNA (300 nucleotides) under uncultured verrucomicrobium 15ev. Its description in RNAcentral is "bacterial SSU rRNA". It matches the Rfam family "Bacterial small subunit ribosomal RNA", at positions 9 to 301 of the family's 1533-position model. The record is from RNAcentral. Lineage: Bacteria; Pseudomonadati; Verrucomicrobiota.
GAGUUUGAUCCUGGCUCAGAACGAACGCUGGCGGCGUGGAUAAGACAUGCAAGUCGAACGGGACUUGAUUGGUAGUAAUACUCGUCAAGUCUAGUGGCAAACGGGUGCGUAACACGUGAGUAAUCUGCCGGGAAGUGGGGGAUAGCUCGCCGAAAGGCGAAUUAAUACCGCAUAUGGCUAGGGAGGACAUCCUCCCGACGCCAAAGUCGCAAGACGCUUCCUGAUGAGCUCGCGGCCUAUCAGCUUGUUGGUGAGGUAACGGCUCACCAAGGCUAUGACGGGUAGCUGGUCUGAGAGGAC